CAGGUUAUAACCUCAUCAAAUGAACCGUUGAGCAAGGCAGCAGCACUUUCAGGAACAACUCCGAUUGCAAUCCAGUCAAGUAGCUUGAGGGUUGAGGGAGUGAUAUCAGUGCUAUAGAUGAAAUUGAUUUUAUAUUGAUGACUGGUAGGCCUGAAGGUAACACCGGGGUUAGUGAUGGAGAAAUUUUCGAUGUAUCUCCACAUUCCAACAGGUAUGGAGCACCUUAACUUGAACACGCCACUCGGACUUGUAUGGUCUGAUGUCAGCCAAAUUAGUGAGUUCCAUGGUUAAAGGUAUUUCUUGUAGCGAUUAACUUUGCUGAAAGGUUUUAGGAAGCGUGUGUUGAGUUUAGACUGUAUGAAUGGUAUUUAUAAGAGAAGAAGGCGAUGUAAAGUCUAUUAGUUAUCAGAAUUUAUUUAUUUUUUAGUUUAAUUAUUUGUUACAGAAGAUGGUUGCAUA
Molecule: long non-coding RNA, 459 nt
Organism: Raphanus sativus (radish)
Lineage: Eukaryota; Viridiplantae; Streptophyta; Magnoliopsida; Brassicales; Brassicaceae
Exons: 3
Source: RefSeq, a predicted model, not a curated record